AUUGAACGCUGGCGGCAGGCCUAACACAUGCAAGUCGAGCGAGCGGCGGACGGGUGAGUAAUGUGUAUGGAUCUGCCCGAUAGAGGGGGAUAACUACUGGAGACGGUGGCUACUACCGCGUACGGUCGGAUGACGCCAUAUGGGUUGAGCUAGUGGGUAAGGUAAUGGCGUACCUAGGCGACGAUCCCUAGCUGGUCUGAGAGGAUGAUCAGUCACACUGGGACUGAGACACGGCCCAGACUCCUACGGGAGGCAGCAGUGGGGAAUAUUGGACAAUGGGCGCAAGCCUGAUGCAGCCAUGCCGCGUGUAUGAAGAAGGCCUUCGGGUUGUAAAGUACUUUCAGUAGGGAGGCGGUACCGACAGAAUAAGCACCGGCUAACUCCGUGCCAGCAGCCGCGGUAAUUC
Molecule: ribosomal RNA, 406 nt
Filed under: uncultured bacterium
Lineage: Bacteria
Description: partial 16S ribosomal RNA
Rfam family: Bacterial small subunit ribosomal RNA
Source: RNAcentral